CUCUAAAGAAGUGCUGCUCACUAGAAAUACAUUGUGAGCCAAAAAGAUGAGCCACAUAGAUCUUCUCGGCUUAGCGGCUGAAGACUGACACUGCCAGAUCGCCUCGGAAGCCCCCUAGACCAUCACGGAUGCCGAGCUUCGGGUAACUCUCACAGUGGAGGACAACUUCCAUCUUCACCAUGAGCUGGGAGGCAGGAGGAUAAUCUGGCUUCAGGAAGGAAGAAAAUGUUUGUAGUUCUGGGAACUCCAGCUCAUUUUUACCACUGCCUGACAGCCUCCACAGCAGGGUUUGUUUGAACCCCAAGGGAAAGGAUAUCUCAGCAGCUUCAGGGAGUGACUGCGUACUUUGGUGAAAAGCCCCAGCGAGCUCUUGGUUUAAGCUAAAAGGUCCAGCACGCCCACUACAAAAUCCUUGCAUUGCAUAGAUAACUUCCUGUAAUCGUUCUAACAGAAUAGAGAGAAAUCAGCGGUAUGUCACAUGGAGGCCCGCAGAUUGGCUUGCCCAGCAUAGCAGUGUCGAUCAGCAACUGCUCACCACAUGUGACCUUAUGGAGCACAUUGGAUGCACUUAUGGAACGCAGCAGGAUGUGCUGGGUGCAGAAGGCGGGGCAAUUUCUCUUGACACGUGACCUGAAGGACAUUUUCUCUAGGUCAGCAUGUGUGAAGGUGUGGUCCAUGGGCCACCUGCAUCAGAGUCACCUUAGCUGCGUGCUAAAGUUGCAGAUUCCCAGGUCCCACCCUAGACUUACUGAGUCAGAAUACCUG
RNAcentral lists this long non-coding RNA (765 nucleotides) under Homo sapiens (human). Its description in RNAcentral is "TRPC7 antisense RNA 2 (TRPC7-AS2)". Lineage: Eukaryota; Metazoa; Chordata; Mammalia; Primates; Hominidae. The record is from RNAcentral.